UACGAACCGUACAACCGUUAUUCGGAAUCACUGGGCUUAAAGGGUGCGUAGGCGGCCAUGUAAGUGAGGUGUGAAAUCCCUCGGCUCAACCGAGGAACUGCGCUUCAUACUGCAUGGCUUGAGGGAGACAGGGGUAAGCGGAACUGAUGGUGGAGCGGUGAAAUGCGUUGAUAUCAUCAGGAACACCGGUGGCGAAAGCGGCUUACUGCGUCUCUUCUGACGCUGAGGUACGAAAGCUAGGGUAGCGAACGGG
This 253-nucleotide ribosomal RNA is filed under the name uncultured bacterium. RNAcentral's name for it is "partial 16S ribosomal RNA". It matches the Rfam family "Bacterial small subunit ribosomal RNA", at positions 524 to 776 of the family's 1533-position model. The record is from RNAcentral.